UACGGAGGGUGCAAGCGUUAUCCGGAUUUACUGGGGUUAAAGGGUGCGUAGGUGGGUCUGUAAGUCAGUAGUGAAAGCCCCAAGCUUAACUUGGGAAGUGCUUUUGAUACUGCAGAGCUUGAAUGUGGGAGAGGGUAGUGGAAUUCCAGGUGUAGUGGUGAAAUACGUAGAUAUCUGGAGGAACACCGGUGGCGAAGGCGGCUACCUGGCCCAACAUUGACACUGAGACCCGAAAGCGUGGGGAUCAAACAGG
This 253-nucleotide ribosomal RNA is filed under the name uncultured bacterium. RNAcentral's name for it is "partial 16S ribosomal RNA". It matches the Rfam family "Bacterial small subunit ribosomal RNA", at positions 524 to 776 of the family's 1533-position model. The record is from RNAcentral.